RNAcentral lists this ribosomal RNA (426 nucleotides) under uncultured bacterium. RNAcentral describes it as "bacterial SSU rRNA". It matches the Rfam family "Bacterial small subunit ribosomal RNA", at positions 356 to 773 of the family's 1533-position model. The record is from RNAcentral.
AGGGAAUCUUCGGCAAUGGACGAAAGUCUGACCGAGCAACGCCGCGUGAGUGAAGAAGGUUUUCGGAUCGUAAAACUCUGUUGUUAGAGAAGAACAAGGAUGAGAAGGGAAUGUUCAUCCCUUGACGGUAUCUAACCAGGAAGCCACGGCUAACUACGUGCCAGCAGCCGCGGUAAUACGUAGGUGGCAAGCGUUGUCCGGAUUUAUUGGGCGUAAAGCGAGCGCAGGCGGUUCUUUAAGUCUGAUGUGAAAGCCCCCGGCUUAACCGGGGAGGGUCAUUGGAAACUGGGGAACUUGAGUGCAGAAGAGGAGAGUGGAAUUCCAUGUGUAGCGGUGAAAUGCGUAGAUAUAUGGAGGAACACCAGUGGCGAAGGCGGCUCUCUGGUCUGUAACUGACGCUGAGGCAUGAAAGCGUGGGGAGCGAAC